This 72-nucleotide transfer RNA is filed under the name Angiostrongylus costaricensis. It matches the Rfam family "tRNA". From Rfam's summary of the family: Transfer RNA (tRNA) molecules are approximately 80 nucleotides in length. Their secondary structure includes four short double-helical elements and three loops (D, anti-codon, and T loops). The record is from Rfam by way of RNAcentral. Lineage: Eukaryota; Metazoa; Nematoda; Chromadorea; Rhabditida; Metastrongylidae.
GCUUCGGUAGCGCAGUCGGUAGCGCGUCAGUCUCAAAUCUGAAGGUCGUGAGUUCGAGGCUCACAAGGAGCA